Long non-coding RNA from Hemicordylus capensis (graceful crag lizard), 1528 nucleotides. RefSeq lists it as uncharacterized. NCBI's taxonomy places the organism in Eukaryota, Metazoa, Chordata, Lepidosauria, Squamata, Cordylidae. The record is from RefSeq and is a predicted model, not a curated record. The transcript has 4 exons.
CCGCCAGCCUGUGGGGAGGGGGGGGACACUGGCAUGGCCGAGAGGGGCUGCCACCAAGGAACUGCUUUAGGAAACUCCAAGCAACUUACUAUCCAAGAGUUAAAAUAAUCGCAUUUAAUUAAAAACAAUAAAAGCAGCCAUUUAAAACCAGCUCCUUGGGCCUGACUGACUGACAUGAAACUUCCAGACCAAACCACAGAAGACAGACACACAUCAUUUUCAUAGAGACCAUGAGACACGAAAGACUGGGAAAGAGAUCAGAACCAAGAGAGCUGAAAGAGAUCAGUACCAGGACAUCUGUAGGAGAGAUGACCCUGCACCCACGGUCUCACUCAGCCCGAUUCCUGAGCAGGAAGGAAGUUAAGGGCUCCUGGAAGGAUGGAGGAGUCUCCUGUCUGCCUGACUUCUGUUGCUUGUUCUGGCUUAGAGUGAGUGAAUGAGGCUUCUUUAAACAACAGAGACUUCUUUUGAAUUUGAGCGAUAGGAUCAUAAUGUACUAUGGCUGUAUUGUUUGAUACUUGGCUGUACAUUUCCCAUCUGGUGGAUGGGAAAGUGAAAUACGGGUUGGGGGGGGCACUAUUCCUUGCUACACUUUGGAAUCACCCCUGCCAGUCACCAAAAUCCAUGACAGAGAAUAAUGUUCAGCACUACUUCAGUUUGACUAUUAGGGAACACAUGCAUGCUUUCUCAUACACUUCUGGACCCCAUUCCAGCCAGCCAUGAAUACACAGCUCACACCCAUUCCUGCACCCCUCUCUGCUAGCCAUUCACACAGAAGUCUAGACAGUUGUCCUGCUGGCCUGGGACUCUUUGUACAGGGUGGAAUAGAGGUGCAGCAAUAGCACAAUGGCAGAUACUCUGGCCUAAUUGUUCUGCAGCCACCACCAUUACUCCACUACCAGCAUACCCUUCCUCUCCUACCAGCCACUACUGCUUUUGGCAGCUAACUGACCUGCAAAAUGUAGUUAAAUCAGGCUUCCCCAACCUGCGGCUAGGGGUGUGCAAUUCGGGUUUUCAGUGAUUCAGUUCGGGACCUGAACCGAAUCACCCCCAUUCUGUUCUGUGCCCAAAUAUGGGCUACCCAAAUCACCCCUGAUUCGGUUCGGAUUCGGAUUAAAUCGGAUUAAAUUCGGAUUAAAUCCGAAUCCGAAUCGAUUCGGGUAAAAAAAACGGGUCCCAGGGGCAAAAUAGUGGGGUGAGGUGGUAGUGCCCAAUGGGUGGAGGUUACCACCCCAAUUGCAGAGGGAUUGGGCAGAGGGCUGAUUUUUGGUGAAUUUCUGGAGUUUAUGCGUCUUUAAGGUUUUCCCCCAUGAAGGGUGUAUUGCUUCACGUCGGGGGGAAAGGGGUGUCCUAGUGCCGGGUGGGGUUGGUGGUAGUGCCGGGUAGGGGCAAGGAAGCUACCUGAAUUUUUUCAAAAGAUUUUGGCAGAGGGCUGAUUUUUGGCAAAUUGUUGAAGUUCACGCGUCUUUAAGGUUUUUCCUCAUCCUAUAUAAUAAAAGGCUAAGUGAGUGGCCGUGGCUUUGGAACG